UACGGAGGGUGCGAGCGUUAAUCGGAAUUACUGGGCGUAAAGCGCGCGCAGGCGGCUGGGUCAGUCGGAUGUGAAAGCCCCGGGCUCAACCUGGGAACUGCAUUUGAAACUGGUGAGCUAGAGUAUGGUAGAGGUAAGUGGAAUUCCAGGUGUAGCGGUGAAAUGCGUAGAUAUCUGGAGGAACGUCAGUGGCGAAGGCGACUUACUGGACCAAUACUGACACUGAGGUGCGAAAGCGAGGGGAGCGAACAGGAUUAGAAACCCCAGUAGUCC
Molecule: ribosomal RNA, 273 nt
Filed under: uncultured bacterium
Lineage: Bacteria
Description: partial 16S ribosomal RNA
Rfam family: Bacterial small subunit ribosomal RNA
Source: RNAcentral